CUACGGGUCGCAGCAGUGGGGAAUAUUGGGCAAUGGGCGCAAGCCUGACCCAGCAACGCCGCGUGAGGGAAGAAGGUUUUCGGAUUGUAAACCUCUGUCCUUGGGGACGAAGAAGUGACGGUACCCAAGGAGGAAGCUCCGGCUAACUACGUGCCAGCAGCCGCGGUAAUACGUAGGGAGCAAGCGUUGUCCGGAAUUACUGGGCGUAAAGGGUGCGUAGGCGGCAUAUUAAGUCAGGUGUGAAAUACUCGGGCUCAACCCGGGGGCUGCAUUUGAAACUGAUAUGCUUGAGUGUGCGAGAGGAAAGUGGAAUUCCUAGUGUAGCGGUGGAAUGCGUAGAUAUUAGGAGGAACACCAGUGGCGAAGGCGACUUUCUGGCUCAUAACUGACGCUGAGGCACGAAAGCGUGGGGAGCAAACAGGAUUAGAUACCCGAGUAGUC
RNAcentral lists this ribosomal RNA (441 nucleotides) under uncultured bacterium. RNAcentral describes it as "partial 16S ribosomal RNA". It matches the Rfam family "Bacterial small subunit ribosomal RNA", at positions 339 to 795 of the family's 1533-position model. The record is from RNAcentral.